Molecule: ribosomal RNA, 253 nt
Filed under: uncultured bacterium
Lineage: Bacteria
Description: partial 16S ribosomal RNA
Rfam family: Bacterial small subunit ribosomal RNA
Source: RNAcentral
UACGUAGGGUGCAAGCGUUGUUCGGAAUCAUUGGGCGUAAAGCGCGUGUAGGCGGGCGUGCAAGUCUGCUGUGAAAGCUCCUGGCUUAACCGGGAGUGGUCGGUGGAAACUGCACACCUGGAGGACGGUAGAGGUAGGUAGAAUUCCCGGUGUAGUGGUGAAAUGCGUAGAGAUCGGGAGGAAUACCUGUGGCGAAGGCGGCCUACUGGGCCGGACCUGACGCUGAGGAGCGAAAGCGUGGGGAGCGAACAGG